AAUUGCCUACGGGAGGCAGCAGUGGGGGAUAUUGCACAAUGGGGGAAACCCUGAUGCAGCGACGCCGCGUGGGUGAAGAAGCGCCUUGGCGCGUAAAGCCCUGUCAGCAGGGAAGAAAAUGACGGUACCUGAAGAAGAAGCCCCGGCUAACUACGUGCCAGCAGCCGCGGAAAUACGUAGGGGGCAAGCGUUAUCCGGAUUUACUGGGUGUAAAGGGGGCGCAGACGGCGAUGCAAGCCAGGAGUGAAAGCCCGGGGCCCAACCCCGGGACUGCUCUUGGAACUGUGUGGCUAGAGGGCAGGAGG
RNAcentral lists this ribosomal RNA (305 nucleotides) under uncultured bacterium. Its description in RNAcentral is "bacterial SSU rRNA". It matches the Rfam family "Bacterial small subunit ribosomal RNA", at positions 333 to 655 of the family's 1533-position model. The record is from RNAcentral.